Small nuclear RNA from Octodon degus (degu), 106 nucleotides. Lineage: Eukaryota; Metazoa; Chordata; Mammalia; Rodentia; Octodontidae. The record is from Ensembl.
GUGCUUGUUUUGCCAGUGCAUGUACAAAAGUGGAAUGACACAGAGAAGGUUAGCGUGGCGCCUGUGCAAGGAUGGCCUGCACAUUCAUGAAGCAUUCGUGUUUUUA